AUUGAACGCUGGCGGCAUGCUUUACACAUGCAAGUCGAACGGGCUUAGGGGCUUGCUCCUAAGUUAGUGGCGAACGGGUGAGUAAUACAUCGGAACGUACCGUGUAGUGGGGGAUAACGUAGCGAAAGUUACGCUAAUACCGCAUACGAUCUACGGAUGAAAGUGGGGGACCUUCGGGCCUCACGCUAUACGAGCGGCCGAUGUCUGAUUAGCUAGUUGGUGAGGUAAAGGCUCACCAAGGCAACGAUCAGUAGCGGGUCUGAGAGGAUGAUCCGCCACACUGGGACUGAGACACGGCCCAGACUCCUACGGGAGGCAGCAGUGGGGAAUUUUGGACAAUGGGCGAAAGCCUGAUCCAGCCAUGCCGCGUGUCUGAAGAAGGCCUUCGGGUUGUAAGGAC
Molecule: ribosomal RNA, 400 nt
Filed under: uncultured bacterium
Lineage: Bacteria
Description: bacterial SSU rRNA
Rfam family: Bacterial small subunit ribosomal RNA
Source: RNAcentral